UACAUGGGGUGCAAACGUUGCUCGGAAUUAUUGGGCGUAAAGCGCACAUAGGCAGUCCGUUAAGUCGGAUGUGAAAGCCCCCGGCUCAACCGGGGAAGUGCAUCCGAAACUGGCAGGCUAGAGUACGAAAGAGGGUCGCGGAAUUCCCGGUGUAGAGGUGAAAUUCGUAGAUAUCGGGAGGAACACCGGUGGCGAAGGCGGCGACCUGGAUCGAUACUGACGCUGAGGUGCGAAAGCGUGGGGAGCAAACAGA
This 253-nucleotide ribosomal RNA is filed under the name uncultured bacterium. Its description in RNAcentral is "partial 16S ribosomal RNA". It matches the Rfam family "Bacterial small subunit ribosomal RNA", at positions 524 to 776 of the family's 1533-position model. The record is from RNAcentral.